Molecule: ribosomal RNA, 308 nt
Filed under: uncultured Pelagibacterales bacterium
Lineage: Bacteria; Pseudomonadati; Pseudomonadota; Alphaproteobacteria; Candidatus Pelagibacterales
Description: SSU rRNA
Rfam family: Bacterial small subunit ribosomal RNA
Source: RNAcentral
ACGUACGCUGGCGGCACGCCUAACACAUGCAAGUCGAACGAAGUAGCAAUACUUAGUGGCAGACGGGUGAGUAACAUGUAGGUAUCUGCCCUUUGGCCUGGAAUAACACGAGGAAACUUGUGCUAAUACCGGAUAAGUCUUUACAGAGAAGCUUUAUGCACCAUUGGAUGAGCCUGCACUUGAUUAGUUGUUGGUGGGUAAUGGCCUACCAAGACUGUGAUCAAUAGCUGAUUUGAGAGGAUGAUCAGCCACAUUGGGACUGAGACACGGCCCAAACUCCUACGGGAGGCUGCAGCAGGGAAUAUUGU